This 207-nucleotide ribosomal RNA is filed under the name uncultured bacterium. RNAcentral's name for it is "partial 16S ribosomal RNA". It matches the Rfam family "Bacterial small subunit ribosomal RNA", at positions 568 to 774 of the family's 1533-position model. The record is from RNAcentral.
CUCGCAGGCGGUUUCUUAAGUCUGAUGUGAAAGCCCCCGGCUCAACCGGGGAGGGUCAUUGGAAACUGGGGAACUUGAGUGCAGAAGAGGAGAGUGGAAUUCCACGUGUAGCGGUGAAAUGCGUAGAGAUGUGGAGGAACACCAGUGGCGAAGGCGACUCUCUGGUCUGUAACUGACGCUGAGGAGCGAAAGCGUGGGGAGCGAACA